Molecule: transfer RNA, 71 nt
Filed under: Candidatus Scalindua sp.
Lineage: Bacteria; Pseudomonadati; Planctomycetota; Candidatus Brocadiia; Candidatus Brocadiales; Candidatus Scalinduaceae
Description: tRNA-Gly
Rfam family: tRNA
About the family: Transfer RNA (tRNA) molecules are approximately 80 nucleotides in length. Their secondary structure includes four short double-helical elements and three loops (D, anti-codon, and T loops).
Source: RNAcentral
GCGGCUAUGGUCCAACGGUAAGACUUCUGACUUCCACUCAGACGAUGAGAGUUCGAUUCUCUCUAGUUGCU